Molecule: ribosomal RNA, 3000 nt
Filed under: Deltaproteobacteria bacterium
Lineage: Bacteria; Pseudomonadati; Myxococcota; Myxococcia
Description: bacterial LSU rRNA
Rfam family: Bacterial large subunit ribosomal RNA
Source: RNAcentral
UGGUCAAGCUACAAAGGGUGUGCGGUGGAUGCUCUGGCGCCAGGAGGCGAAGAAGGACGUGGGGUAACUGCGAUAAGCCCGGGCUAGGUGUUACCAACCGUUGAACCCGGGAUCUCCGAAUGGGGCAACCCGGCCGGGGUCAUGCCCGGCCAGCCGUAGCUGAAUGCAUAGGCUGCGGCAGCCGACGCGGGGAACUGACACAUCUAAGUACCCGCAGGAAAGGAAAGAAACCUCGACUACGUGAGUAGCGGCGAGCGAAAGCGUACCAGCCCAAACCUGCGACGUGCAAGGCCGCAGCCGUUGCGUCGUGGGUGUUGUAGGGCCCGCGUGGGAGUCUGCGGAGCUCCCAGAGAGUUACAAAGAGUGCAGAUAGCCGAACCAUGCUGGAAAGAAGGCCACAGAGGGUGACAGCCCCGUAGGCGAAAUCUGUACUCCUCUCCGCGGUGUCCCUGAGUAGCGCGAUGCCCGUGGAACGUCGCGUGAAGCUGGGGGGCCCACCCCCCAAGGCUAAGUACUCCCUGGCGACCGAUAGCGUAAAAGUAGGGCGACUGAAAAGUGAAAAGCACCCCUGUGAGGGGAGUGAAAGAGUACCUGAAACCGCAUACCUACAAGCGGAGAGAGGGCUAUGAGUGGCUUCGGCCACCACGCCUGAUCUCGUGCCUUUUGCUUAAUGAGUCCGGGAGUUGUCGUCGUCGGCGAGGUUAAGCCCCUCAGGGGCGGAGCCGAAGGGAAACCGAGUGCGAAAUGCGCGUCGAGUCGGCGGGGACAGACCCGAAAGCGGGUGAUCUAUCCAUGGGCAGGUUGAACAGGAUGUAACAAUCCUGGGAGGACCGAACGGGUACGUGUUGAAAAACGUUCCGAUGACCUGUGGAUAGGAGUAAAAGUCUUAUCAAACUCGCAGAUAUCUGGUUCUCCCCGAAAUCGCUUUCGGGCGAGCCUUGCGUGAUAGCAGCCGGGGGUAGAGAGACUGAUUCGGACUGCGGGGGCCAAAAGCCUACCCUUCCGAGCCAAACUCCGAAUACCGGUUGCCGUAUCGCGGGCAGUCAGACUCUGGGGGAUAAGCUCCUGGGUCAAGAGGGAAACAGCCCAGACCGCCGGCUAAGGCCCCAAAAUCAUGCUAAGUGCGAAAGGAAGUGGGAGUGCCAAGACAGCCAGGAUGUUGGCUUAGAAGCAGCCACCAUUUAAAAAGUGCGUAAUAGCUUACUGGUCGAGCACUCCUGCGCCGAAAAUGAUCGGGACUCAAGCAUGAUGCCGAAGCCGCGGGUGUCGUGGAGCAGUGCCUUCACGGCGCGGUAGGGGAGCGUUCCACGAUAGGUUGAAGGUGGACCGUGAGGACCACUGGACGAUGUGGAAGUGAUCAUCCGGACAUGAGUAGCGAUAAACAGGGUGAGAAGCCCUGUCGCCGAAAGCCUAAGGUUUCCUGGGCAAGGCAAUUCCGCUCAGGGUUAGUCGGGCCCUAAGACGAGGCCGAAAGGCGUAGUCGAUGGAUAACCGGUCAACAUUCCGGUACCACCCACAGGGCGUUGAUGAUGGCGGGACGCGGGUAUGAAGGUCUACCGGCGACUGGAAGUGCCGGGCCAAGCCCGAGGGAGGCUGAUAGGAAAAUCCGUCAGCGGAAUCCCGGAGGUGAAUGCGAGCCUCGCUGGAGGCGAAGUGACCGGAGUGCCCGCCGAGAAAAGCGUCGGUUCGGAGUCCCGUGGGUGUCCGUACUAAAACCGACACAGGUAGGCGAGGCGAGUAGCCUCAGGCGCUCGAGAGACCCCUGGAGAAGGAACUCGGCAAAAUGGUUCCGUAACUUCGGGAGAAGGAUCGCCUCCUCGGGUAAUGGUCCAUCGCGUCCAGAGCCUGGGGAGGCCGCAGAGAAUCGACCCCUGCGACUGUUUAGCAAAAACACAGGUCUGUGCAAAGACCCAAAGUCGACGUAUACAGACUGACGCCUGCCCGAUGCCGGAAGGUUAAGGGGAGAGGUUAGCCCUUGCGGCGAAGCUUUGAACCGAAGCCCCGGUGAAUGGCGGCCGUAACUAUGACGGUCCUAAGGUAGCGAAAUUCCUUGUCGGGUAAGUUCCGACCCGCAUGAAUGGCGUAACGACAGGGGUGCUGUCUCCUCCAGGGACUCGGCGAAAUUGGCGUGGCGGUGAAGAGACCGCCUACCCGCAGCAGGACGGAAAGACCCCGUGAACCUUUACUGCAGCCUACUAUUGGGUUUUGGGCCAGCAUGUGUAGGAUAGGUGGGAGACUGUGAAGGGGGAGCGCCAGCUCUCCUGGAGUCGCCGGUGAAAUACCACCCUUGCUGGUCUAGAAUUCUAACCCCGUGCCGUGAAUCCGGGCGGGGGACAGUGGUAGGUGGGCAGUUUGGCUGGGGCGGUCUCCUCCCAAAGGGUAACGGAGGAGCGCAAAGGCACCUUCAGCACGGUUGGCAAUCGUGCGUAGAGCGCAAUGGUACAAGGGUGCUUGACUGCGAGACCGACAAGUCGAGCAGGUGUGAAAGCAGGCCAUAGUGAUCCGGCGGUCGCGUGUGGAAGCGCCGUCGCUCAACGGAUAAAAGGUACUCCGGGGAUAACAGGCUGAUCGCGCCCAAGAGUUCAUAUCGACGGCGCGGUUUGGCACCUCGAUGUCGGCUCAUCACAUCCUGGGGCUGAAGGAGGUCCCAAGGGUUUGGCUGUUCGCCAAUUAAAGUGGUACGUGAGCUGGGUUCAGACCGGCGUGAGCCAGGUCGGUCCCUAUCCGCUGUGGGCGCAGGACGACUGAGGGAGUUUGACCUUAGUACGAGAGGAUUGGGUUGGACGAACCUCUGGUGUGCGAGUUGGUCCGCCAGGGCCACUGCUCGGUAGCUAUGUUCGGAACGGAUAAACGCUGAAGGCAUCUAAGCGUGAAGCCCGUCCCAAGAUAAGUCGUCCCCAUCAGGCUCCUCGAAGACGACGAGGUAGAUAGGCGGGGUGUGCAAGCGUGGCAACACGUUGAGCUAACCCGUACUAAUGAGCCGAUCGGCUUGACCACACC